Long non-coding RNA from Dermacentor silvarum, 178 nucleotides. RefSeq lists it as uncharacterized. The transcript has 4 exons. The record is from RefSeq and is a predicted model, not a curated record. Lineage: Eukaryota; Metazoa; Arthropoda; Arachnida; Ixodida; Ixodidae.
GAAGUGGCAACGAAGCAAUCCUAACUAAAUGGCUCUGAACCGUUGGUUUCUUCUAGUAGCGGUCUUUUACGCAAGACAAUGGAUUACUGCCACAUGCGACGAGCAAAAUUUUACAGAGGAGUAUGAUUACGAAGAUUCGUGGUGCGGGUAUAAUAUACUGUUAACAUCAGGGGGGCCG